UUUAAAUAGAAAAUCUCUUUUUUUUUUCUCCCAACCCUAGCCUCAUUUCUUGAGGGCCGCUCAAGGGGGGAAGUGGUCACUGACCCUCCUCCCUUCCCCAUAGCCCCCCUCCCUCCCUCCCUCCCUCCCUCUUCUCCUUUUCUGUUCUCUCCCUCCAUCUUUUUCUGGUUUUUUUACCUUCUCCCCUGUCUUGGGCUUUUGGUGGAGCUGGUCUUCUUUCGGUUUGAGCAUGUUUGGCUGUGUCUGUGGCUCUCUUUGAUAGUUGGGUGCUUCUCCCUCUGUGGUGUCUGCUUGUGCCUUAUACUAUGUGCUGAGAUUAAAUGUCUGAUGCCAAUUUUGUGUCCUUGGUUCUCCACCAAACAACCCCUUCAACCAGAUUUAUUUCUUCCUCAACUUCUCAUCCUCUUUUUGCCUUAUCCUCUUUCUGGAUCUGGAAUCUCCUUUGGGAUACAACAACCAUAUCUAUAAGCGCUUUGUCGCUCAUUUCUCGGAUUGUAUUUAGAGCUUUUGCUACGGUUCUUGCUCUGGUGCUUGCACCAAUAUUCUCCAUUCUCUUGGUUUCGGUGUUUUGAUAUAUACCUUGGUGUUGUGAUUGGUUGUUGUUUUCUCUCAGGUGCAUUGGCAGAUUUAGGUGUGAUGGAGAAGGUGACUUUUGGAGGAAGGUUCGAGGGCUGAUGUGUUUCCAAUUUUUGGGGAAUAUCUAUUUUUGGUGGAAGAUCAGUGGGUCUCUAUGUGCAGCAAUGCUGGCCUGUGUGGUGGUGGUGUAUCCCGUCCUUGUUUUAGUUUAAUCUUCUCUAUUUGUGGCAUUUCGAUCCUUUAACUGGCCUUUUUGGCCUUUGUAUUCUCUAUUUGUUUCUUCCCCAUUUAUGAGUUUUGAAUGAAUAUGAUUGAUUCCGACCAAAAAACAAAAAAACUCAUUUUAAUUGGGUUUUCUUACAAUGAAUGGGAUUGUAAUUUGUACAUACAAUUUGAAAACCCAAUUCAACUGAGAAACAAGCAAAUCAAAAUCUACUCCUAUUUUUCAUUUUAUUUUAUCAUUGGUACCCAUCUCAAAUGUGAUCAUGCAUAGUCGAUGCAUAAAAAGGGAAAAAGAAUACUUGGAUGACAUUUGAGAAUUGCUCAAAAACCCAGGAUUUUGCUCAAAAUUCUCUAUGUGAAUACAAAAACAUAUGAUAUAAUGAGUAGUGACUGUUCUAUAUCCUACACAACAUUUCUCAGUUACAGUAUCGCUAGAACUGAACAAAUUCGUACUCGGGGCAGCCUUCUGCUUACGAUACAAACAGAACACCUGAUUUCAGGCCAUCUUCAUUAACUAGGAGCCUUGCCUGCCAAGAAGAAAAAGGGAAAUAAAGUAGAUUGUUGAACAAAUGCAUGACAAUAGAUAGAAAAAUAAAGAAGCAUACUGUGUCCACAAAGGAAAAGGCUUGUGUUGACUUACCAUUUACCUCCUCAGGCUCCUGUGAAAUCAACUGCAUAGAAGAAUCAGUUGAGAAUCCCAGCUUAAUCAUGACUUCUUCUAAACGCUCCAUAUUUGUCAGGUAGAGAUAACCAACCUACAAACAUGCAAGGUGACUUUAUGUUAAACAAGACAGAAGCUAGUUCUUGACUACUGAAUUAGAAGUAAUUUUGAGGAUCUUAAAUUUAAACAAGCAUGUUGAAUAUUAGGGUUUAGAUAGCCAUCAAGAACAUGCUGGAUGAUUCAAAAUAGACUACAAUUCAUAUGUACGCAUGUCUGCUCGUAUGCUUAGGUGUGCAUAUGUAUUUAUGUGUAUGUGUAUAUUGUUAUGUACAUAACAAUACAGCUACAUCCUAAGAUUUCCUGCAUCUAGUAACUGUACUAUGGAAAAUCCCAACAUGCCAAUGGCCUUCAGGACAAACAGCACCUCCUCUUUUAAGAAUAAAGGUAGUUUUAAUUGGCCAUCCAGCAAUUUUAUGGAUUAUUCUGGAUAAACCGGGGAAAUAGGGUCUCAUACUACAAAAAUCCCUACAUGUGGGUGUGUUUGUUUUUGUUUUCUUUUAAAUGGACAUCAAUUGGAACAUGACACAUGCACCAAACAGGGAUGUCAACUUCCUUUAGGAAUCCACAAGUUUAAAAUUCAGAUGCUGAUAGUGAAUCAAGGACACCACAAGGUCAAGGGCACUGACUAAUGUUUCCAGUGAAGAUGCUCUAUUAUAAACUGCCACACCAGCACGCUUUUUUGUUCGUGUUUUAGCAGCUGAACUAAUAUUCUUUCCCCAUUUGAGAACAUUCCUGAAGCAAAAAUUAUCAAAUGACAUAAGUCAGCAUAACAACCACUGCACUUGAAAAAUAUAUAAUUUUAUAUCAGCACAUCCAUCAUAAAUUUUUUUCAAAAAAUUACCCUCCACAUGAUGAAGGGAUCCUGCAGUUAUCCUUGAUUCAUUUUAUGAUGAUAGUUCUGAUAUACAGAACCAAGAACAAAUACAACUGAGCAUGGAAUCUACUGACCUUUCUUCGUCUGAUAAAAAAUUGUCACUCAGAAGUUUCUGGAGCAGUGCAUCCUGAAAUGCAAAGAACAAAAGUUUAAUAGUUUCUAAAUUAAAAAUAAAGAAAACAAAUGCUGAGUUUUUCUUAGUUAACCCAUUUGCGAGUCACAAUAAAUCUAAUGUAGGAAACACAUAAGCUAAAAAUAUUCUUGUUUUAUAUGGCAAUUACAUGGAAAAAAAAACACAAGAAACACAUUCCUUUGACAAGUAUGCUCUAUUCCAAAAUCCUACAAUUCAUUGAUUCUUCCGGAUUCAGAGGGAAGGCAGAAGAUGAGUCUAUAUGUUUGCACACUGAUUCCGACUUCCAUGAAUGUUACAACAAUUCUAAAUCGCCGGAGUCGAGUUCUUCUCAGCCAGGGAGAAUUGAUGAGGACAUCUUUGUCAAACCCAUUAGGGUUUACAAAAGAAAGAGAUGGAAGAGGAAAUCAUUUAAUUUCGUCUUUAAAUCUGGCAAUUUUGUAUUCCUGCAAUUAGUUUCUAACUUGUUCUCAAAGUUUUCCAGAUUUUAGUAGGAUUUUUAGUUUUUCCAGAUUUCAGUAGGAUUUGUAAGUUUCCUAAUUUAUUUGGAUUAGGAUUUCCUUCCUAGAAUAAGUUUAAUUUUCCUUUUCACUCUAGGGUUAGAUUAUUAUAAGUACCCCUUCUAUGUAAUUCAUUAUGGGGGUUGAGAUUUGAGAUAUUAAGAAAAGUUUAUUUUCCAGAGAUUGGAGAAUCCUUGGUGUGAAGCGAAGACAUCUUUUCCAUCUACUUUCUGUUUGUUCCUUUGUUUAUGCUUCCGCUAAACUACGUAAAUCUACAAUUCACCUGUGUCCUACAUCAAAUUUGGUAUCAGAGCCUGGUUUUCGUUUUCUUUGGGUUCAAAUUUUUUGAGUAUUUCUUGUUCUUCAUGCCGUGUGUCGAGUGGUGGCUCCGACUAAGCCUGGAAAGACAGACGAGCCAGAGACAGACUUUGAACGUCUUGUUCAGAUGAUGGAAAACAUAUCAAAGCAAGUGGCAGAUUCGAACACUAGAUCCGAAGACCGAUUCAGACUCAUGGAACGUUGCCUUGCAGACAUAGAAGCAGCUAAUCAACAUGACAAAGCAAGUGUGAAUGGAGAAGAAAGGAAUCAUGAUCGACAACAUCAUUAUAGAAGGAAUGAUCGAGACGGUGAGAGACAUCAUGAUAGGAGGAAUGAUCGAGAUGCAGAGAGACAUCAUGAUAGGAGGUAUAAUCGUGACGACAAAAGACAAAUUUUUUAUUUGUGGCUAUGAGCAAGACCCUGAUGAAAAGGUGAUGAGAUCAGUGACACUUGAUGCUCCUAAUUUUGAUGGUGAGCUAAAUCCUAAAUCAUUCCUCAACUGGUUAGCCACCAUGGAUCGCUAUUUUGAGUGGCAUGACAUGUCUGAAGCUCGAAGGGUGAGAUUUGCUAAGAUAAAUAGGUGGGUCAAGCUGGAUUGUUUUGGACCAAUGUUGAAGUACAGCUAGAGAGAGCUGGUGAAGAACCAAUCAUCCAUUGGGGUGAGAUGAAAGAGAAGGUUGAAGCAGAAAUAUGUACCAUUAUCCUAUCAACAGUGUUUGUUGGACAAGUGGCAAACUCUUCGUCAAGACAACAUGUCAGUUGCGGAAUAUAUUGCAAAAUUUGAGGAAUUCAUGUUGAGAUUUGAGAUAUUAAGAAAAGUUUAUUUUCCAGAGAUUGGAGACUCCUUGGUGUGAAGUGAAGACAUCUUUUCCAUCUACUUCCUGUUUGUUUCUUUGUUUACGCAAACUACCUAAAUCUACAAUUCACCCUUGUCCUACAUCAGGCACCUAGACAGCUAUUGGCAGCUGAAAUAGAAAGGAGUGACACAUUUUAUUAUUUACUGUCUACAAGGACAUCUCUGGGACUGAAUGACUACUGAUGCUGGAUGCAUGUCCUCAAAAUAAUGAAGCAUUUUAUUUUCUUCUUCUUUAAUGUUGAGUGGUGUGGGACGUAAUGAAAAUAAUCUUUAGGUUUAUUAAAAGAUUAAAAGCUAAUGCAGUUCAUUGGAUAGUGAACAUCAUUAAUACGAGGGAGCACAAGAAAACAAAAAUUUCAGAGACACAUAUCAGCAUGGAGGGAACAAAAUCCUUAUAACACCAUGACAUUGCCUAUAUCACACAAACAUUAGCACAGUAUAUCAUACCUGUGCUUCACAACGUACAACUGCCAUCACACGAUCAUUAUAUUCUUCGAUACUCAGGGGAGGAAACAAAAAAUGCCUGCGAACAUACAGCUGCAUAAUAAAUAGUGAUAGUAAGUCAUGUAGGAAGGUUAAACUUCAGAAGUAGAGUAAUUAUGUCAAUCAUAAUACUGAAAAGUAGGCACCAUAAAGGUAUAUGCUUUUCUCUCAUGCUCUCCAAAUGAUCAAAAUAUAGAUUUGCAUUCUGCAUAUGGCAUUAAAUAAUCUUUAGACCUUUUACACUAAAAUGCCCAUACAUGGGUGCAUUGUUGAAUAAUUUCUUUGCAUUUUUCAGAACAGUUUUUUUGCAAUAUGAUCAUGUUGUUUUGAAUUUUUAUGAACCCCUGUUCCUGUGCUAGGGAUCCCUGGACCUGUUGGUGUGCAGUUCUGCUACUUACUAAUCCAUCUUCGUGUCAGAAUACAAAUGCCUCCACCGUAAUGGUGGCGCUUCCAUAUGUGCACACAGAAGCACAUCACUCAUCUUAACGUUAAAGACUAAUUAAUAUAAACUUCAGAACAAAAUAUUAUGCCUCAUUGCUGAUGGUAUCUUUUGGGGAUUUUGGUCCUGUAAUGAUGCACAUGUUCAAUACAAAAUUUACAGUUACAUGCGUCCUGAAUAUUGGUUAUGUGCAGUUGCAUAUAGUAAAACAAAUGGCACAAAACUAACUUGAAACUGAAACACACCUCGUAAAUGCAAUCACCAAUAUAAGCUAAUGAUGCCGCAUUGAGUACAGACCGAGGCUUCUGUACCUUUGGAGGACUAGGCAGACGCUUCUGUACCUUUGAUGGACUAGGCACCCAUCGCUCAUAGCCCAAGUAUAACUCAUCGGUUCGUACUGUUUCCCCUGCAAAAUAAUAUUGCUAAAGACCAUUACCACAAUGCUUCAUACAUGAACAUCGGUAUUAAAGGAAUAAGAGAAAACAUCGUGAAAAAUAACUAAUUAAAAAAAAUUAGGCGGUUAUCUCACAAAAUGAAGGUUUCAAUCUUAUAUUUGUCAAGCUUAUCACCUAAAUUCACGAAAACUAUAUAUACACGGGACUUACAAAAACCUGCAAUUCUUGGUAAAAGCCCAUGAAAUUGUGCUUACUCAGCUAUUUUUCUUAUCCAAGCUGACUUUAAUUCUUUUGAGAAACGAAGACAGCAUAACACAGAAAACUGAGAACCCAAUUUUUAUUAACUUUCCGCAGUUUUCCCAACAACCGAGCAAUCAUUUAGGUAAGCAAAACUCACUUUUUCAUUAAUCAAACCAACAGAAUUCAAGCACUCUCUCAAAUUUUCUCAUUUCCUUUUCAAUUUUAUCAGUAUUGAAAUGAGCAGCUCAAACUAAACAUUUAAGGACCCAGCAGAAACAGAAAAAUCUUAACUGAGAAAUGUUUUCAUUUCCCAUAAUCAUAAACAACAAAACCCACAACAAUUCUAGUACUCUAACGUUUUAUCAUAUUAUCCUCAACUUUCUCAGCAACCCAGAAGCACAAAACCCAAAAAUUGGCAUAGUCAAACAAACCCAGAAGAGAACGAGCACGCAGAAAGAAUUGGUGAAUGGAAUACCUUGAGCUGGGCGUUUGAGAAGGUCAAAAACGGAGGUAGUUGUGGCAGUUAGGGUGACAGUUGGAGGGGUUUUGGUGGUGCCGGUAGCAGUGCUGGGGUUUUCGGGUUUGGGUAUCUUUCUCGGGGUGUUGCGGUUGUAUGAGAGUCUUUGUUGUGUAUCCAAUGAAGCUCUCACUGUCACUACUCUCACACCCAUCGCUGAAGAAGAAGCCAUUGAUAGAGUUUGCAUACUUCCUCUCUUGCUUGCUCGAGUGGGAGAAGCUCCAAAAUCCAAAUGAACCGGAUUUCUUUGUACUUUUUAUAUUUUAUUUUAAACUAUUUUAUUUUUUAAAAUAGUAUAGCCGAGCGGCGACACUCCUUUUUAAAAAAAAAAUAGUAUAGCCGCGCGGCUAGAUCCGGUUUUUUAUUUUUUAAAAGUAUAGCCGCGCGGCUAUACUAAUUUUGACACGUGGACGCCUAUGGCUAGGCUGGUUUUUUAAAAAAAUAGUAUAGCCGCGCGGCUAUACUUGGUUUUUCAAAGCGAGUAUCAUAUUGGGCCGGGUCCAUAGUUUCUACUGCAACAGCGACAUGUCGUACCAGUACCAGAAACUAAUGCCACAUUUGGCGGUUGUGCUUACACUUGUCUUAUCCUUAGUGGCUCAUCUAGCCACUGAGAAACACAUCCCCGCAGCUUAGCAUACAACGAGCUGCAGAGAAUCAGAGAAGAAGGGACCAGAGAGAGCUUUGGCCUUUUUGGUGCUCGCUAGCUGUUUCCUUGUUCGAAAAGCUGCUCCUAAAACCCUCAAAAAUUCCCUGUGAUAAUCUCACCCAGCGGGUGACACACAGCAGCAGCAACACAUCGUCAUGAGCCGCUAUGACAGCCGCUCCGGCGACCCCACUUCGUACCGUGACCGGAAAAGGUAAACCCUCUUUGAUUCUCUCAUAUAUGUAUGUAUACGCGUAUAUCUAUGAAUGCUUAUAGUUAUAGGUCACUUUGCACAAUGUGUAUAUGUAUUUGAUUGGUAAUUUUCUUUUGUUUAAGUUUGCCCAAGUGAUAAUUAUAUAUGGUUUGUGGAUUACUCUCUCUGUCUAUUUCAUUUGCCUGAAUUUAUUGUUUUUCUCAGUUACCCUUUGUUACAAGUUUACCAUAUUUACAUUUGCUAAUGCUACAUGGUUGUGUUUCUUCGGUGUCCCCAAGACAAAACUUAAUUUGUUUCUGAGUUUCAUUUACAUUUACUGGGUUUUCUCAAAUUUGUGUAAAUUCUGCGGUGUUUUAGUGAUUCGGGGUUUGGUGUGACCGGCUACGGUGGCUCAGCACGGUCUUCGUCAAGCAAGAAGGAUUGUGAUGGUGCUGAGUCACCGAGGAAAUUUGAUUUGGAUGGAUUGACACCUUUCGAGAAGAAUUUCUAUGUUGAGUCACCUGAAGUGGAAAGAAUGUCGGAGAAGGAGGUUGAGGACUAUAGGCAACGGAGGGAAAUUACUAUUGAAGGCCGUGAUGUUCCAAAGCCGAUCAAGAGUUUCCGUGACACUGGGUUUCCAGGUAUAUUUUCGUAUUUUCUUAUAGAAACAUGUAUUUUUAUCUUUUGAGGUUUCACAUUGAUUCAUUCUGAAUAUAUGCUAUAGAAAACAUAUAAUAUUUAGUCUAUCCUGAAAAUCUUUAUAAUUCACCAAAACAAAACAAAAAAAAAAAAAGAUAACUUUGUUGGAGAAUUUUGAUGGAGAGCAGUGGUGCUAUACUUUCCAAUUAUCAGUAGUUUAGGUCCAGCUAUGCCUGUGCUACAUUAUUCUUUUGCCUAACACUGCAACGAAUGAGAUGACCUAUAUGAUAUGUUCAGAUUCGUUGUUGGAAAUUAGUUGUCAUACACUGUAACGAACGAGAUGACCUAUAUGAUAUGUUCAGAUUCGUUGUUUUCUUUCUUAAAGUCUACUUACUGGAAUGGUUCCUCUUGGGCCACAGAAUACGUUUUGGAAGAAGUUACAAAGGCUGGAUUUGUUGAACCUACACCAAUUCAAGCUCAAGGAUGGCCAAUGGCUUUGAAGGGUCGUGAUCUCAUUGGUAUUGCUGAAACAGGAUCUGGGAAGACGCUAGCCUACCUGUUGCCUGCAAUUGUCCAUGUCAAUGCCCAGCCAAUUCUAUGUAUGGAAUCGUUAAGACAAUUAAGUUCUUGAAUCUUCAUUGAUUUAUUCUUUUACAUUUUAAAUAUGACUUGGUAUUGGUCAGGCAUAAGUUUUUAAUUUUAUAAUAUUUGUUUAGCUCCUGGAGAUGGCCCAAUAGUAUUAGUUUUAGCUCCAACCCGUGAGCUCGCUGUUCAAAUCCAACAAGAGGCUACUAAAUUUGGCUCGUCUUCAAAAAUUAAAAGCACAUGCAUAUAUGGCGGGGUUCCAAAGGGACCUCAAGUUCGUGAUCUGCAGAGGGGUAUGUGGCGAACUUAGUUUUACAUGGUAUUGCUGUUGUCCUACUGUACCUUUUAUGUAUCAUAGAUUAUGUACUUGAUAUCCUGUUAUGGGCAUUGAUAUCAUGGCUAAGAUGACUUAUCACUCCAUUUAGAUGUAGGUGGUGAAUAAAACAGCAUUUCUUGUUUCAGUAAUUUCUUAUUCUUCCUGUUGAUGUCAUUCCUAUUUCUGGAUCAGGAGUUGAGAUUGUAAUUGCUACACCUGGGAGGUUGAUUGAUAUGAUAGAGUCGCAUCAUACCAACUUGCGAAGGGUCACAUACCUUGUGUUGGAUGAGGCCGAUCGGAUGCUAGACAUGGGGUUUGACCCACAGAUACGGAAAAUUGUUUCUCAGGUUUGAGAUUUUACAUUUCUGUGUUAAAGUGACUUAGAAUAUAUACCAGUUUUAUAUGUGUACUACGAAGAUUUAUUACUUAUUUUUGGCUCCCCUUUCCAAAGCCUUUCUUUAUUUAUUUAUAAAAUAUUGUGUAGUUUUUGAUACCCACUAAUGUUAAUUUGGACUUCUGAUUUCUUUAAAAGCUGGAAAAAGAUUAGUGAAUCUUCAACUUGGCUCAGAAAAACUCUUGGGCAGUUAUAAUUCCAAAGUUAUUACUCUUGGUUUGAUUUCUUAGAAAAUAGAUUCUAAACUUUGUAACCCAGGUAAGGCUUGUUUAGAUAAAACAUGUACUACCAGUUUGGAGCUCUAAGUACCUUGAGACAGUUGUGGGUUAUUCGAAAGUUAUCCUUACUAGAGAUAGUGUAAGGAUAGGGUAUUCUUACCAAACAUCUGUAAACAGGCCGCAAAGUUUUAGAAUGUGAACGAUAAUGUGGGGUCAGUGUCUUGGUGAAAAGAUAUGGUGUGUGAAGAUAUGUGCUUUUGUGUGGUGGCAAUGGGACGCAUGUCUGUUUUGGCGUUUUCUCUACCCCAAUCGUUAUUUUUGGUAGCCAUGGUUGCAAAGAUACAGUUUCUUUUAUAAUUAUCCUGUCUUUAGUUUCUUUUUCCCAAGAACUUAGGUAAUAUGUACGUGCUCAACAAUUUGUGUUUUCUAUACAUUUCUAACUAAAUAAAUGCCAUCGAAAAACAUUGUGCCUCAAAUGAGAAUGAUGGUGAUGAUUAUUGAUGUCAUCUUAAUCAUGAGGUUUUGUUUUUAUAAACCAUGUUGAGAACUUUCUGGUGAAUACAAUUCCAAGCAGCACAUGCAGUAUCUGUGGUUUGUUUGUUAUAAAAUAGUCAGGACUUUGUGUUUCUAACUUUCUUGAGCUAUUGAGCAUCACAAAACAAGAUUAAGUGUGCAUGCUUAUGUUCCUGUAUGGUCACUGGUGUCAUCAAGAAGUUUUUGUAUCUAUGAGGUUAGAUUCAUAUUUACUUUUAAUAUUUUGAUUGCUUUUUCUCGGCUAAACCAAUAUGCAAGUCCUUGAGAAGAGACUUGGACCAUUUGCACUUUGCUCUUGUUCAAUAAUGAGUUUGAUAUCUUGAUGUAAGUACACAUAAGUGAAGUCAAACUAGGUAGGUCAAAUCACCCUGCAUAAAGCUGCAUCCUUAAUCAUCUCUAGAAAUGAGCAAAUAUGAAUUUUUCCUGCAUCUCUCUCUCUCUCUCUCUCUCUCUCUCUCUCUCUCUCUCUCUCUCGCAUAGUUUACGUUUAGUUUAAAUUUUCCAUUGUUCUCUAAUGUUUCAUUUAAUGCAGAUUCGCCCAGACCGUCAAACAUUAUACUGGAGUGCUACCUGGCCAAAGGAGGUUGAACAACUGGCGAGGCAGUUCCUUUACAACCCAUACAAAGUACUCUAUCUUGCUUUUAGUAUAGAAGUGCUCUUCAUCUACUAGGACACAAUCUUCAACUUUUUGCGUCACUUUGUCAUCUUCAAUUAUUGUUACUGCAUGAAAUUGGUAGUUUUAAAUACCCUCUUUUCUUUCUAUCAUGUGAUUGUAAUAGUUCUGUUGGAUGUAUGUUCUUAUGCAUAAUACUAAUAUGCCAAUGAUUAAUUUACAUCCUUUUGGAUGUUGAACAGGUGAUAAUAGGUUCUCCAGAUUUGAAAGCUAACCAUGCGAUCCGCCAAAUUGUUGACAUCAUUACAGAAAAUCAGAAAUAUAACAAGUAGGGUGCAGUCUAUGUUGUUAUGGUUUCUAACUUUCAUAUGGUUAGUCUUGAGCUAUUUUCUGCAGGUUAUAUAUCUGAUUUCUUUCAAUUUAACAGACUGGUAAAGUUGCUUGAGGACAUCAUGGAUGGCAGCAGAAUACUGAUAUUCAUGGAUACUAAGAAAGGAUGUGAUCAGAUCACUCGGCAGCUCCGCAUGGAUGGUUGGCCUGCUCUCUCAAUUCAUGGAGACAAAAGUCAAGCAGAAAGGGAUUGGGUCCUCUCUGAGUUUAAAGCCGGCAAGAGCCCCAUAAUGACCGCAACAGAUGUUGCUGCUCGUGGUCUAGGUAUGGAAAUAAUUUCUUUUAAGUUUAAAGCCGGCAAGAGUCCUUUCUGUUCUCAUUGAUCUGACCUAUGAGGAUGGUAUCAACAUGAUUGUACUGAAACAAAUAUUUAUUACACGUUAGUUUGUUUAAAACUAUUACCAUCCACAUUUGGCUGGAUGGUAGGUUUCCAUAUGAAACCUAUCCUUCCUCCUCUUAGGUUUUGGUGGUAAUCAUCUCUGCCCAUGAAUAAUUGUUUCCCUUUGAGCCAGGUAAGGUUUUGGCGUGCAUCGGAUUUGCCUUUGGGCUUUGGUAGGCAAAAACUGCUAACAUUGGGGUGCAUAGGUGUGUUAACCUAGCAGAAUUUCUUGAAUGUACUUAACCCAUGAAUUGGUCUUCGACCUCGUUUCUAAUCCCUUUGUGUCGUGCUUGAUUUGGUUGCAGAUGUGAAGGAUGUGAAAUUUGUUAUUAACUAUGAUUUUCCUGGAUCCCUUGAGGAUUAUGUUCACCGCAUUGGCCGAACUGGAAGAGCUGGGGCAAAAGGAACAGCAUACACGUUUUUCACAGCUGCUAAUGCUAGGUUCGCAAAGGAACUUAUUGCCUUGCUCGAGGAAGCUGGACAGAAGGUCAGUCCUGAAUUGGCAGCAAUGGGCCGCGGUGCACCUCCUCCCCCUUCAGGUCAGUUAGUCUGGACGCUAGAGAAAAUCUUUGUGGACACGUAUGCACAUGCAUUUGGGUGCAUAAGAACUGUGGGUCAAUGGUAUAGAAAUAGAAUGGGGGAUGCCUCUUUUCAUGCUUAGGUUACCCUGUCUUACCUUCUCCCUGUGUAUUGGAUGUCAGUGUCUAGAUAGGGUAUUGGUGAUAAAUAAAGCACAAAUAUAUGGCGCUUCUACAAGGAAAAAAAGAAGGAAAGAAAGAAAACAUUUUCCAGUAUUUUUUAGGUAGCAUGAACUAUGUUUUCUUUAAUCUGUUUACUACAGUUUGUGAUGAAAUUUUAAUUUUGGAAUGAUGGAUGCAUGUCUAUUUUCCUUUGAUGAGAGGUUAAUUAAAGACUCCUAAAAUUGUUUUGUGUUGUCACUUGUAAUUGAUCAGGUCAUGGCGGUUUUCGAGAUCGCGGUCGGGGUUACGGUGGAGGUCGUCCUUGGAACUAAUUCGUGAUGAUCUUGGAUAUGGCAAUGACAUUGUAUUCUGUUCAGAAAACAGGAAAAACUUGUAUGAAUACUGACUGACUAGGAUGUAGGAGAACAAAUAUCUUAUGUUCAUUAUUAAAAAAAAAAAAGAAAAAAAGAAUUUUAGAGUUUGUUCGUGACGGUUCUGGUUUUGUUUUUAUCGUCGACGUAUACAUAAAGCCUUAGAGAUAAAACAUUCAAAAUCUCACAAAUUAUUAUGGGGUACAUGAAAAUACCAAAAAAGAAGACACUUUAUUAUUAUUAUUUUUAGAAUCUUUUCUAUUGAGAGGGGUGAAAAUUUACUAAAGUCAAACACACUACACGGAUACUAGGACUUGAAUCCAGUAUCUUUUAUGGGGGAGUAAUAGCUUCAAAUUACUAAAUUAGUGGUCAUUUGCAAUGCGUUAAGUAAGAAUAAAAUAGUGCAUUUACUAUCUGUUUAAAUUGAAAUAAAUAAAUCAAUGGUGUGUUUGUACUUGAAGUCCUAUGUUCGACUCCUUCUUCCCUCUUUCCCUAAUAUUGCUUGUAUUUAAAAAAUAUACAUAAAAAAACCUAUAAGUUCUUUCAUGUAUUUUUCUUAAAAAAAAAUUAUAAAACCCAAUCUUCUAAAAAUAAAAAGAACAAAAAAAGUUCAAUGGGCAUUCGCCAGACGAGACGAGAGUGAGAGGCUUGGGCCCAGGUUAAAAGGCUCAUGUGGGCUUAAAUUUCAAGUUGGGUUUGAGCUUGGACUAGAACUGAACCCCUUCAUCAGCCUGGUCUGGCCCGGCCCGUUAACCCCGAGUUCAAUGGUGGAAUGGAAACUACAGAGUACACGCAACCAUACCGUAGUAGGCUGCUGUAUGGUCUAACAAGAAAGACUUUCGAGUGACGAAAGGAAAUCAAGGCUUCCUGCAACAAUGAGCGAAGAUCCCAAGCUCUACACCAACAAACCCAGGAAAGGUAAAAAAACCCAAGUUCCAUGCGAAUCAUUUUUGCUUUUUAAAAUCAGAAACAGCUAUUUCUCAACCACAUGAAGAAUCUUUUUUUGCUUUCAAUAAUUGGGGUUUUGGUAUUUUAAUCGCUUUCGUCUUGUGUUUUCAAAAACAGCACAGCUGAAACAGUUUCAAGAUCAACAUAGAGGAAAAGACUUUUCUUCACCACCACCAUCAUCGACAAUGGCGACUCAAUCUCCAUCUCCGCCACCUCAGCCCCCGAAGGAGUCAUUUGCUCGGCGUUACAAGUUUCUUUGGCCUCUGCUCUUGACUGUCAAUCUGGGCGUUGGAGGUCUUUCUUCCAUUUCUCUUGUUAUUAAGUUGUGUGAAUAAUUUGUUUUGGUUUUUCUACCAGCCUUUUGCAGUGAUGUGUGUGCAUAUAUGUGUAUAAAGUGAAAGAAAGUGAGAAAGCUGAAAUGGGUUUUGAGAUCAUUGCUUGGAAACUCAUUUUAAUGCUUCUUAUUGCUUUUCUUUAUGGCGGCGUUUUUAGAUAGUUGCCAAUUAAGUGCUAAUUCAGUUUGAUUUUAUUUGUUUGGUCAUAAUCCAAAUGCAAAAGAAAACGUUCUGAGUUAGUUUAUGAGUUCUUGAACACCUGUUUUAAGUUGGUCAUAAUCUAAAAGUCAUAUGAUUUUUGUCACGAAGAGUAGUGAUUUGUUAUAGCUUAACAUAAAGGGGAAUGAAAGUUCAAAAGGCUUUUCAAAAGUAGUUUGGAUUUGUGAAUCUGGCUGUGUGUGAUGUGGGUAAACAAUUAUAAUUCUCAAAACAUGUUUGGGAGUGUCCAUUUUACAUUGGUGAUUGCUAAUUACAAUCGAAAGUGAGUUGUUAUUCUGCUAAUCAUAUCCAGUUGAUUAAAUAGAUGGAUUUUUGUUUUCCAAGCAUCCUACUCCCUGUAACAUUAUAUAGUGAUAAGGUGGAGGAUGCUAGGCUGGACAGGCUAUUUUUUGAUCUGUUCCCCUACAAAACAGAAGAAAAAUCAUAAAACAAAAACUAUCAACCUUCAAGAGAGGAUCUCUGCAUUUGUUAGAAGCUGCUUGUGAAUUGUAUCUAAUGCAACUUGUCUCAGCAUAAACUUAAAAUAACUUAUGUGACUUUUAACCAACUUUUUCUUGAACUUUUCCUUCACAUGUUUUACUACAUGACAAGAUGUAGUGAGUAAGGGCAGUUUGUGGUUUACCUAGCAUAAGCUCCUAGAAAUUACUUGUUGAUGUCAUGGUUAUUAUGUUAAACUCUCCACAGUUCCAUUCUGUAUGAUUUUGUUAAUGCUCAAAAGGGACUGUGCAUGCUGGUGAAGGGCCAAGGUAGCAAUUUGAGAAAAUAAAUGGUUGCCGUGUGGAGACAACACAGCGUGAAGGAUGUUACUAUGGCUGCAGUAGUAGUUGAACUUCAUUAGUUGACUACAAAAACAUGGUCGAUACUUGAUACUUUGUAAUAAGCUACCUGCACUCACUUUGGAGGGAAAGACAAAUUCACCAUUAUAUUAGUGAUGUUGAACUUAAUGGCCAUUGUGUAACUAAGGAUGCUGACGAGUAAAGUACAAGUGAGCAGAAAGUUUCCAUUUAGCCUAGGUGGCACUUCUUUUGUUUUAGAAAGAACUAGUUCAACAUAAAGACGUUAUUAGUGAGGAACAUUAUAAUAGACUGGAUGAAACCAUCUCUGUUAACUUGACCAGCAUAGAAUGUCUUCUUAUUACGUUGUAAUCUCUGUGAACUUGAACAGGCUACUUAUGCUUUCUCUGCUUCUGUUUGCGACUGAUUAGGGAUGAUUUUUCUUGUAAUUUAAAAAAAAAAUCUAAAUAUGGCUUUCUUAAUAGUCUGCUAAAUGGGCUCAUAGAUGUUAACACUUGUGGGUAUGGACAUAGGAUGUGUACCUGGCAUAGUUGUUAAUGGACAUGUUCCAAACAAGCAUUUUAGGAUUGGUAGAGAGGAAGAUACCUCACUAAUCAUAUAAUUGUUGCAGUACCUUAUUUGCUUCUUUGUUGGAUGAUUAUAUUAAUGAGUGAAUCACCUCUAUUUUGAAUUAUUUGAGUCUUGAUGUAGUUUUUAUGGAUUUUAAUUUACUUGUAGUUGGACACUGAGGUUUACACUUACUUUUGUAGCUUACCUGUUCAUGCGGACGAAAAAGAAAGACACAGAUGUAGAGGAAGAAGUAACUACUACAGUUUCGACAACAACUCAAACAACUCCUACUACUACUGAGAAACCCUUGCCCCUGCCAACCAUCACAGAGCCUGUGAAAUUGCGAGAACCAAUCCCAGAGGAUCAACAGCGCGAACUUUUCAAGUGGAUACUGGAAGAAAAAAGAAAGGUUAAGCCAAAAGACCCCGAGGAGAAGAAGCGCAUUGAUGAGGAGAAAGCCAUUCUUAAACAGUUUAUCCGGGCAAAAUCCCUUCCAAGAAUCUAACUCUAGUGACAGGAAAAAGCCAUUUCUCCUCAUUCUAUUGAUAUCCUGUAUUUCCAUUUGAUUGUCUCGAUCUCUAUAGUGGAUCGUGUCUGCACAAAGUUAGUCAUCAUUGUCAAUUGAAGGAAGUUCCGAAAUUCAUCGUUGGUUCAUAUCAUACAAGAAUAUUGUUCAUUUUGAAUCAGUGAAUAUGUGGUGCGUUGGACCUGGAAUGAGUAUGUUGGUCUUGUCAAUUUUUUAUACACAUCAGUGUGCUAUCUGCUGCUUACUAGCAUUUCCACUGGAACAAAAGAUAAUUAAUUUUCAUUUGGUGUCCACGUGCAAGAAUUGGAUGUUCUUCACCUAUUUAUUUUAUUUUAGAUGCGGCGAUAGUGACAAAUGGGAAAAUCGAACACAAGACCAUGAUGUAAAUAUUCUUAAUCACCUGAGUUAUAAGUACCAUGUCAUAUAUUAAUCACUUGAGCGUAACCUCUUGCCGUAUAUAUUCUUUGACUAUCUCCUAACGAAAGCAUAUGCACACUUUCCAAAAAGGACAUGGACACCGUAAAUAUGCGUGUUGAGAGAGUUCCCACAUGAUGCACAAAGACAUAAGACUAUUGCACAGUAUAUAAUAUAUGCUCCAAAGAUCCCUAAACCCCAUGGAUAAACAAAUAUAUCCAACAUAUUCUCUUGGAUUCUGAAAGAUAUAGUGGGAAAUUAACAAAUGGAGCCGAUUAAGAGCCGAACAAUUUGAUCAAAUGAUGAUAUGUGGCUAAAGUACUUAGCUUACCUAUAAAAUGAUGAUAGGUGAUUAAAAUAUCAGAUAAAUAAGAUAAUCAUAAGUUAGGUAGUUUGAACAAGGAAAUAAAGCAAGUCUGCAUAAAGAACUUGGAUAUCAUUAGGAAACAGUCCAAGUGAGAUUUUGAAAAAGCUAAAGCCUAAAAGGAUGCUGAUACAGAAUAAUGCUCUUUCUCUCAGCUCCAAAUUCUAAACCUAAAGAAGAAAGUUAACAAUUUGUGAACUUUUCCGCACGCAGUUGGGAAACAAGUUAGAAAAGAAAAGAAAGAAAAACUCCCGCCCAAAAAAUUCUUUGUGGGAAGAGAUGAUUGAAUUUGUGUUCUCCUCCAGCCUAUAGGUGGUAGGGGUCGAGUUAUCGAUGUGAGAUGGAUCCAGAAAAAGUAUUCAAACCUUGGGACCUCAAAUAAAGAGCUAAGUCCAUCUCCAGUUAUGGGCUAUAUCCCAAAUAUAGUCCUAAAUUAAUAUAAAAUCCAUCUCUAGCCAUAGGCUAAAUAAAAUUUUGGUCAAAUUUGGAGGGCCACCGGGCCAAAUGUAGCCCAGCUUUGGUCUAGGCUAAAUUUAUGUACUUUUCAACAACCAAUCAUUAAAGCACUCCUCACUCUUCUUUUUGAAAAUAAUAAAAUAUGAAUGACCCUAAAAUAUAGCCAUGCAUAGUUGAAGAUGGAAAAAUUUAGCCAUGCACUAUUCUAUAAAAAAUUAAUAUUUUGGGGAGCUAAAUUUUUAGCCCUAAACUACAUUUAACCCUAUGAUUGGGAUGGCCUAAACCAAGAACUAAGGUUUACUCAUUACAAGAAAAAGACAACAUUGCCCAUAUUGGUAGGGGCCUCGGCUUCAAAGACAUGUGUCGUUGAUGAAGCCCUCCACCAAGUGCCCCUUGAAUAUCUUUCAUGAAGAGGGAUUUAUAUAAAGGUGAGUAUUUUUGGUGAAGAGAGGGGAAAAGUACAUGUGGCCUCAAGCCCUCCACCAUCUGAAACGAGAAAGGAUGGGAAUGAAUGUGACAUGAGAGGUUGGCCUAGCUUAUAGUUCUGGAGGAGAGAGAGAGAGAGAGAGAGAGAGAGAGAGAGAGAGAGAGAGAGAGAGAGAGAGAGACAGAAGGACAAAAGGGCAGGGGAUGAUGAUGGAGUAUGGUUGGACUUAAUUAAGUCUCACAUGAACGCACGAGGCCACCCAGCUGAGCCUCUGCCAAUGGGGGGCCUUCUCAAUCCGCAAGAUGAUCAAUCAUGAGCCUGUGGGGGCUUCUCCCAAUUUAUAUAUCUGUAUAUUUAACAAACUUAUCAUAUUGCUCAUGAAAGAAUUUGAAGUUCUUUCUGCUACUUAUCAUCAAAAAGAAAAAAAAAAGGGAAAGCAGAAGAGAAAGUUCUUUUGUACUGAAAUCCAUCAUAACUUGGUAAGAACACAUGUAGUAUAUAUUAUAUACAUGUGCAGUAUCAUUCACAGCCUAACUUUUAGUUUAAUGAUAUUAGCUUAAUAGUGCUUCUCUUCCGAAUAUUAAAAGAUGUUGAAGGUUCGAAUUUCAUCACUAAUUUUUUUUUUUUAAAGCAAAAAUUUAAUAUUGCCUCAUGAAUUAGUUGUAGGUAUGGAGAUUCUACUACCAAAGCUAUAAAUGUCUGCUAGGUUUUGAACUGUUAAAAUAAAUAUAAAAUCAAUACUUGUUAGCUAUACUGUUGAGCUCAUUAGUCAAGCCAACUUAUAAAGUUGGCUUGUCAAAGAGUUUUACACUAGGUAAGUAAGUUUUGAUUUCUCGGUCACCAUCAUGAAUGAAAAUUCAUGACGGUUGGUGAUCACUAAUUUUUAUGAUUAAAUGGCGACCAAGAGAUAAAAAUCCGAAAACCAUCUUCCGCUCGGCAAUAACUUUAAGUGGGAAGCUAAAUUUUUUACUUUAUACCCUAUAUAAGCUGCCAAAACAAAUCUAUCUAUAGCUUAGAUUAUGCAUCUCCCGAUACAAUUAUUCUUUGGUUAAACAUUCUCUCUCUCUCUCUCUCUCUCCCCCCACACGCGUGCAUUGUGUACAUGCACAUUCAUUCUUCAGUCACCAAAAUCUCCUCAUUGGAACCAUGAUUAAGAAUAAUAUUAUUUAAGGGGGUGCAGACUGCAAAGCUAAAGCUAAGCUUAUAUAUAGAGAGAGCGCUACAUACAUUCGUGUGGGGAAAUUUCCAAAAUGGACAAUUUGCUGAUUGUACUAAUAUUGGCAGCAACAACAACAACAACAGCAAUUUUGAUAUUGUCCAUUAUAUUUCUCUACAGAAACAACAGCAACUUGAUCCUGAGAUCAAAACACAGAAGAAGGCCACUUCCUUUAGGCACUCUUGGAUGGCCAUUUCUUGGUGAAACCAUUGAGUUUGUGUCUUGUGCUUACUCUGACUGCCCUGAGAGCUUCAUGGACAAACGCCGCCACUUGUAAGUACAUUAACACACAUAAAGUUAAUUAGUAAAAGCAGCAACUUAUUAACAUGUAUAAUACAACAUGUAUUACUUUCAUCUAAACCAGAGAGCAGAGCACACUAUAUAACUCCGUUUUUGCAUGAGUGAUUUCCAUGUAUUAACUUGUGAUUAAGAUUGAAUGAAUCAAAAUGCUUUGUUGGGUUUGUGUGUUGUACAUCAAACAGCAAACCCAAUAAGCAUUCUUCAGUUUUAAUGAUUCAGCUUCAUGUUUCUGCUGAUUUACUUCAUUCAGCUCCAAUGGUUUGGUAGCUGAAAACUUGAAACUCCCAUGUAUAUUUGAUGAUGAUGAAGAUAGAGGCAUGUUUGUGAGAAUUAUGAUUUGGGUUGUUUUUGUAGGUAUGGGAAGGUGUUCAAGUCACACAUAUUUGGAAGUCCAACAAUUGUAUCAACAGAUGCAGAAGUGAGUAAGUUUGUGCUGCAAAGUGAUGCAAAGGCUUUUGUACCAUCUUACCCAAAAUCUCUCACUGAGUUGAUGGGAAAGUCCUCUAUAUUGCUUAUCAAUGGAGCCUUGCAGAGAAGAGUCCAUGGGCUCAUAGGAGCCUUCUUUAAGUCUCCACAUCUCAAAGCUCAAAUCACCACAGACAUGCAGAAGUAUGUCCAACAAUCAAUGGCAAAUUGGAGAGAUGAUCGUUCCAUUUACAUACAAGAUGAAACCAAAAAUGUUAGCUCUCUCUCUCUCUCUCUCUCUCUCUCUCUUCUUCCCAGGUCUAGGGGAGAGAAUUUUAUCUAUGAAGUUUGAGAUCAUAUCUAAGUUUAAGAUGACUUUUUGAGAAGAGUUCCAAUAGACAGAAGACCAAAACCAAAGAUGCCCUCUCUCUUAGAUCUAUCUCUGGCUUCUUCCCUUCUAUUUAAAACUGUUUUACAAUAAAGUAAGCGCUCCAUUAAGCACUUGGUUAAAGAUAAACGAGUCUCUCUCUUGUGAUCAAAGGAAUGAUUGAUGUUUGAAUUUAAUCUCUGGCUCCUACUUAGGUUAGAAGAAUAUAACUUGCUAGAAAGAAAACAAACCAGUUGUGAAUGGGGUUCAUAAUAAUUCUGCUUCAAUCAUAUUGUCUGCAGAAUUAGAUUCAUAAUUAUUAUGUUUUACAGUCCUUUUUAAAAAAAGUUACUAAGACAUGUCCUUUUUGUCUCCAGAUUGCAUUCCAAGUACUUGUCAAGGCAUUGAUUAGUUUGGAUCCUGGUGCAGACAUGGAGUUCCUAAAGAAACAGUUCCAAGAAUUCAUUGCUGGCCUCAUGUCUCUACCCAUAAACAUUCCUGGAAGCAGACUUUACAGAUCAUUACAGGCAAGUUAACCAGCAACUAAUAAUUUAACUGUUUUAACUUUACAAGGGAAAUGUUUCCUUUCUAAAUUGACUCUACGAGAUAAGAUGCUUAUAUUGUUAUACCAUGAAUCUGAACCAUAGAUUAAGUUGGUUCUCGUCUGAUUAUGUGGUUUGGAUUGACAUUUUGACAACGUACACAACUUACUGUACUUUAUUAUAAUACUGUUGUAAUGAUAGUUUGAAUCCUAUUUAAUUUCAGGCAAAGAAGAAAAUGAUCAAGCUUGUACAGAAAAUUAUACAAGCUAGAAAAAAAGGGACUAGUAGCAUCUCCAACAAGGUUGCCAGAGAUGUGGUAGAUGUUUUGCUAAGUGACACAAGUGGGCAAUUGACAGAUGACCUGAUAGCAGAUAACAUGAUUGAUAUGAUGAUACCAGGGGAGGAUUCGGUCCCAGUUCUUAUGACUCUUGCAAUCAAAUACCUCUCAGAUUCCCCCACUGCUCUUCAACAGUUAACAGUAUGUGCACAAAUUUAUUUAUUUUGGUAAAUAACAGAAAAAGAAAAAGAAAUUGGUACUUAAUUACUAUAACUUAUUUUGGUUGAUUAGCCGCAUGGAUACUAUUAAUUAAACAAUCCCACUUCAUUUUUUCUCUCUAGACUUUGAACUUUUUGGAACUUUGUGGCAUUUAAGUCCAACCAUUUGACUACUUUAUCUGUGCCAUUUUCAUUUUGCUUGUCGUUUUAGUGAGACUAAUCUUUCACUUGUGGCUGUCAUAUUAAUACGGUUUCUAGGUGCAAGUGGGAUUGGGUUCCACAAUAAGCACAUAUUACAAGAACAGUAGAGAUAUAUUUAGUUUUUUAUUUAUGCUUUAGUCUUCUACUGCAUAAAAACUUACUUGUAACGGAGAUAGCACUAUUUUACUAUCCCCAACUAACAACACAAUGAAACAUGAAAAAUUUAUCUCGCGUGUCAUUACGUUGGUGAUCAAUAUUGGAUGUGUUGGUUUCUUAAUGCCUAUGGCUUUUCUAAUAUUUGAACUCUUGAUGAUGAACUGAUCAGGAGGAGAACAUGAAGUUAAAAACACUCAAGGAUCAGCUUGGAGAGCCUUUAUGUUGGAGUGAUUACUUAUCCUUACCAUUUACACAAAAUGUAAGUGAAUACAACAUUAAUUAACUAUAAAUGCAGGGCUUAAUUAGAACCAGAAAUAAACAAUUAAUACUCAUAAGAAUCUAUGUAUGUUCUUUAUACUUUUUUGAUUUAAACAGGUGAUCACAGAAACUCUAAGGAUGGGAAACAUCAUCAUUGGGGUGAUGAGGAAGGCCAUGAAAGAUGUUGAGAUAAAAGGGUAUCUAAUACCAAAGGGCUGGUGUGUCUUCACAUAUUUUAGAUCAGUUCACCUGGAUGAGAACAAUUAUGAUUGGCCUUAUGACUUCAAUCCAUGGAGGUGGCAAGUAAGAAUGAUCAUAUAUAUAUAUAUAUAUAUAUAUAUAUAUAUAUAUAUGAUCUUAAUUGGUUUCUUUUAAGGUUUUUUUUUUUUUUUUUUCUCUUUAGUUUUUAAGUAAUGGAUUGGAGGUAUACUCUGCAGGACAAAGACAUGAGCAGCUCUAACUUCACUCCUUUUGGAGGUGGACAAAGGCUGUGUCCUGGGCUUGACUUAGCUAGGCUGGAAGCCUCCAUCUUUUUACACCACUUUGUCACUCAAUUCAGGUAAAUAGACAUGAAUAUUUUGAUCUCCCUCAGGCCAUAAUUUAACAAAAAAAAAAAAAAACAACGGAUACUUAGUUUAGAGUACUGCACACAGGUCCUUCACAAAUAGUGUCCCAUAAAUUGCAAAACCAAAAAAGUUAUAUAUCAAACUUAGGGGAAGACAAAAGGAUAUGGAUGCAGAUACAAGCCUUCAUGGUAGUUCCAUUUUCAUGAUAAGCAUUAAUGAAACUUUUUCUCUGUCUCUCUGGUUUUGUUCUUUUUUUGUUUGGCAAAGCCAAUUAAAGAAGAAUGUUGUUCUGCUCCUUUAUUGCUGUUGACUUGCAUGUAUAUAACUUUAUGGGAUUUCAUCAACCAGCAAACAUUUAUGCUUUUUAGGAGCAAUUGAACAAAGUCCCUUUUAAAAGUUGUUCUGCAUUUAUUCCUCAUUUUUUUGCCAUAUGAGCAAAGACAGCAAUAUAGCACACAUACUUUCUGGCAUUUUCACUGAUCAGUAGCUUUUACAAGACAUGCACCUUUUUUCGUACUUACUUCCAACCAUGCUCUGUUACUAUUGCUAAUUGCUAUGUCGACGUUCGCACGUUAUUAUCGUGCGAACGAUAUUGUAAAUAAGAGAAAAAGCAGGAAGAGGUAGUAAAAAAUACGUGGCAUAUACACAUGAGAAAAAUAUAUGAUCCGUGACUCGAGAUUCUUCCAAGCCUGCUUUGCUAUCAGCCAAAUGUGAUUGGCUUCACCAAUUUACCCAGAUGGGUUUCCAUGUGUGAGCAAAGAGAAGGCCAAAAAAAACAAAGUCUUCAUGAAGUAGAUCAUUUUGGACUUUACUCAACUAUUAGAAGAAGUACCUUAUGUAAAUAUGUGUAAUAUGAUAACAGACACAGUGGCAGAUACCCAAAUUCUGAGGGAACAAAUGGUGUUCCCUAGACAUAACCCAACUAUAUAUUAGUACACGUGAUUCACCAGACUUACUGAUUUUGAAUCACUCAAUUUUAGGUCACCUCUCCCCAUACAUAACUUAUCAAAUUCAUCAGUGUCAUACUAAUACUUCUAAAUCCAUGUUAGGGUGUGAGGAGAAAAACUUAGUUUCAACGGGAAUAACACUAUCUCUAGCCAAUAAUACUAUACCGCAUGGAAAAAUUAUUAAGCGUGUUAUAGCGUUAUUGACUGGAAAUAGCAAAACAGUGAGAUCCCUAUUUUAUUCAAGUGUUUCUCCUUAGCGGCCAUUAGAUUUUGCAAUAUUUCUAUACCAAAUCAAAUCAAACACCUUUCUUUAGCUGAUUCAGUAAGUACGAUAUAAUAACAACAAUCAGCAAUCAAGAAAGUGAAGAAGAUUAAACAAAUGGUCAAUAGGGCUAGAUAGACAGAUACCAUUCUGGAUAAUUUUAAUAGAAAACCACUGCAUCAAGGUUUUGAUUUUGAUAGGCUUGCAGAAGCAAAAGAACCACUUGAUGUUAGUCUAAAACCUUGACUACUUUUUUGUGUUUUUUUUUUCACUUUGCACAAAUAUUCCACAAGAAACUUGAGUACUAAAUUGGCUUCUUUUACAUGCAGGUGGGUGGCUGAGGAGGACACGAUUGUUAACUUUCCCACAGUAAGAAUGAAGAGGAGGAUGCCAGUAAGGGUCAAAAGGAAAGGGGACCACUAGAGCCAGCCUCAAACUUGGCCAGAAAGUUUAGGUAAUUUGUACACAGAUGAUACAAAACAACCAGACAUGAAAAGACAACAAAAAAGUGUUUUUGGCCCCAGUGCACACGUGUGGUGCAUCUGGCUCAUUUUGUCUUAUUUGAUAGUUUCUUGCACAUAUAGACAAUACAAUUAUCCGACCAAGAAAUAGACAAGUAUAUCAUUUUUGUGGGGCCCCUAAUUAAAUCCCUUGGUUUUUCACUUGUUCCUUUUUUUUUUUUAUACCUACCAAAGUUCCAUGUAUAAUCUAUUGACACUCGCUUUUAUUAGUAGCAAUCCCAUCAAGGUUGAAAUUUUUAAAACAUAGUUUUGAAUCAAUUUGAGUUGUGUUUGUGUUGUAUUGUAUGUAGUUGUUCUUACACAUCAUGAAUGUAAUGGAAGUCUAUAUCAUAAACAUACUAAAGCCAUAUCUUGUGAAGUCAUUGAUGAUUUUUGACUAUCAGAAAAAGUCUUUCUCCCUCCAUUUAUACACUGACACAAAGAAAUAUUUUUUUAUGUGAAAAAAGAAAAUUACAAGAGAAUCGGACACAAAGAAAUAUUAAUACUUACCUUUAAUCACCAUCUAGAAUUCAAGUCCGUCAUUACAUACGUAUGUUUAAGAAAAAAAUCAUAUAAAAUAAGUUCAUAAAAAGGGCCCUAAGUCACCUUUCACAAGCAUAUAUACUUGUGUUAAAUCCCGUCGGUUAUCUUUAUCACCACUCAUCAUGCUCGUCACGACCUAUUAUUCAUAUCAACAGCACUUUGUCCCCUUGAAUAAAUACCAAAUUACACUGAAUUUCACAAAACUAUUCUACAUUCUUAGAAUCAACACCUUUUCUUUGUGAAGCUUCAAUUUUUGUUUCACAGAUGAAUCGUACCACCAAACAUAUGAGAAAAGUGAAUGGUCAUCCUUUUGGGUAAUGGAACACCUUUGGUUCACUGCAUUAUCCUAUAACUCAUGCAAAGCCCAUCUCCCCCCAUCACAAACAUGCGUGUGUAAAGAAUGGAUAUGGUUUAACCAUCUGGACAGAAUAAUCUGCACAAGAAAGAGAAAAUAUAGCUUACUCGUGCCUAGCCUGAUUUGCAAGAUCUAGGGUUGCUUUAUUGAUCAUGUAGAAAGAGCAGGAAAAACAACAGUGAUUGUUGUCAUUCAAAACUACUCAUCCUGCUAGUUUAAUGUUUUCCAAUUCUCAAGAAAAUUCAACAAAAAUAAAAUAACAUUUUUCUUCAUAAUGAAUGAAGCCAUGGAAUUCAGCAUUUUCAUGAGGGAGCAGAUCAAACAUAUUUUCAGUAUUGCAUCCUAUUCAGUUGCUACCUUGUAGUAGUUUAGAGGAUGCAUUCUUUAAGGCUUUCUUUUUAUAGAUAGGAAUGGAGGAUUCAAACACGAUUGCAGAGUAGGAAGCACAUCCAUUCUAGCUAAUUUGGUUAAGCCCGUGUCUUUUUUUUUUUUUUUUCUCUAUCUUUCCCUUUUCCACUGAAGAAACAAAAAAAGCUCCGACCAAGAGAAGAAAAGCAAAAACGAACAAAAUCUUUCACUUCUAAAUUACUAUCUUGGGCCAGAAGAAAGCCACGCUUAAUUUGUCAAUGGGCUUAUACGAUGUGGAGCCGACCUAAUUUAAUGGGCCGGUAGCCGUAAGUACAACGUCUUUCGGAACAGUGUUAAAUGGCCUGAUGGGCAAAAUCAAAGCUUAGAGAAAACUAGCUAUGAAUUUUCUGACCAAAAUCAUCUCAGGACCUCUAACGCAGAGCACAUAGAGGUUUUCAUCGUUCAGAAUUUCGAUCAAACAGAAGGUGCGGAUUCUAGUUUGCCUUUUAUGCUUUUGUUUUCAGAAAAAACAGUUGUUGUUUAUGGAUGUUUAAUUCUAAAGAAUGAAAGAGAAUUGAAAUUAGGAUCUUAUUUGAAUUGCUUUUAAUUAAUUCUGUGAUUAAUUAUCGUCAGAAAGGAGAGGAACUGAGAAAAUUACCUUUUGUUUUGCCUUGAGAAGUCGAAUUAUUAUUAAUAUAUCGGUAUGCAUGUUGGUAUUUCUGGGUCUGAAGUAAUGAGAAGCUUGAAGUUUUCAAAACGUUGUUUUGUCUCCAAUUUCCUUCACUUUCUGGGAAUCCAAACUGACGCAUAAGGAUUAAUCAGACAUGAGUGGCUUAAUUAGUUGAAGAAAAGUUGGUUUGUAUAUGGUUCACAUUGACUGACCAAUUGUGUGAUUAUCUAGAAAAGAAUAAAGAAAAUAAGAAGCACCGCCAAAGUUGUAUAAUUGAUUUAAUUUCAGCUUGUACAAGCACUUCCAUGUUGUUUAAUUUGUUUUUUAGGAAAAAAACUAAAACAUUUUGCACAAGCUUCCAAUUGCUAGGGAUAAUGUUACUUUAGAGCAUUAUUUAAGGUAAAUUACAGAUUUAUCGCUAACAUACUCAUUCUCUAUCCCCCUUUCUGUAGAGGUUAUCUUUCCUACAGUUUUGUGGGUGGUUUUCAGGAUACCUUACAAUGGCAGGGAGACAUCGUGUUCCACGUGAAGCGAUUAAUGACCGGCGCGGCUACCCUCUUGAAGGACCUUUUGGUCGAGGUCCUCCAAUGCGACCACUUCCUCAUCCUGCAGUGUUGGAGGAAGAACUUGAAAUGCAACAUGCUGAAAUUCGAAGACUCUUGGCUGAUAACCGGAGGCUGGUUGAGGACCGAAUGACAUUGCAGCGUGAGCUUGGUGCUGCCAAGGAGGAAAUUCAUAGGAUGAAUGUUGCCUUUUCAGAUAUUCGUGCUGAAGAAGAAUUGCAAUCAAGGGAGCUCUUUGAGAAAGGCAGGAAAUUGGAGGCUGAUCUUCGGGCCACUGAGCCCUUGAAAAAUGAGGCUAAACAACUUCGUUCUGAAGUUCAGAAGCUGACUAAUGUUAGGAAGGAACUUUCCACUCAAGUUCAGACCCUCACACAGGACGUUGCGAGGUUGCAAUCUGAUAAUCAACAGAUUCCUCUACUAAGGGCUGACAUUGAUGGUCUGCAUCAGGAGCUUAUGCAUGCUAGGUAUGUACCCGCUGCUUAUUUGUCAUCAUUUUCUUGUCUUGAAGCUCCUUUUUAGUGUACAGAUUUUAUCAAGAUUGUAUUAGAUCAACUGCUUAUAUAUUAACGUACAAGUUUUGUUGUGUAGAAAUGCAAUCGAUUAUGAGAAGAAGGCGAAUGUUGAGCUUAUGGAACAAAGACAGGCAAUGGAGAAGAACCUAGUUUCUAUGGCUCGUGAAGUUGAGAAACUACGCGCAGAUCUUGCUAGGACAGAUGGUAGACCAUGGGGUGCAGGUAUUACUUAUCUGUCUGACUGUAUUCUUUUGGCAUUCAUAUCCUCCUCCUGGUACCUUUAUUUAACCUUCAAUUUGGUGCUGAAACUCCUCAUUGGCUUUUGAAAAGAUGAGAUGUCAGGUAAGUAGAUGUAUGAUAGACUGGUUAAACCUCUCUCUCUCUGACGCACACAUGCAGACACAUAUUCACAUACACACAUGCACACGCUUCCAGGUGCAUACAAGCACACUUAAAAACAAACUCACAUAGUGGUGAAACAAUUAUAGUUUGCUUCCCAAGUCCUAACAUAUACAUUUUGUACUGCAUUCUGUUCUUAUACACCUCUUUCUUCUACGGAAAUACUUGAUUUCGUGUUUAUUGAUUCUUUAAGUGCCGUCUGGUUAUUAGAUAGAUAAAUGUAUUUCAUCUUCCACAACCAGUUUUGGGAGUUGGGGUUGAGGUCUCAUCUUUUUCAAUUAUCUAAUACAGAAAUGAACUGUUUAUUAUUUCUUUGCAUGCCAAUAUUUAAAUUUAUUUUCCCCAUUGUCAUGCAGUGGAGCCAAAAAAAAAAAAAGAAAAAAAAAAGAGUUGUUUUGUUUAGGGUUAUGUUGUUACAUUUUGCUUUUACUCUUUUCAUUCACAUCUCAUCAUUUUCCUUUUUAAGGUGGACAAUAUGGGAUUAAUUUCAGCAGCCCAGAGGUUGCUUUUCCUGCUGCAUAUGGAGAUGGCUAUGGGAUGCGCAUGGUAUGUUUGCUUAUAUAAUUAGAAAUUUGAUUUGUUUCUUGCAAUCAAUAGAUUUCCAUGUUAAUUUUAUGUUUUCUUGGAAGUGUUCUGAAUGUCUAUCUAUUAGUUUUUCCCUUUUCUCUGAAUGAUCUUUAUGGUUAUCUAUUAGGGUGUUGCUGAUAAAGGGCCUAUGUAUGGGCCAGGUCCAGCUUCAUGGGGAGGACCUGAAAAGCCUCGCAUGACUCGUCGUUGAAAUCUGGAUGAUUAUGAUUUCAAUGACAGAGUAUACAUGCCACCUUUGGUUGCUCAUCAUCAGCAUAGAUGGUCAAGUCAUCCAUGUGUGCACGCCAGAUCAGUGGCCAUUUUUUUUUCUGAAUACAUCGUUAGUCAUCUUAAACUUAUGUAUAUAGGGUUUUAAUAUUGCUUUUCUUGAUUGCUAGACAUUAAUUCCCAUGUCUGUGAUAGUAGUAUAAUGUUUUGGAAUUUUCUGUCUCUAAUUUGCAUCAGUUAUAUCUUAUGUUGGUCAUUUGACCAUGUAACCUAUAAUGAGGAUUGUUUUUUAUUUGGAAACUCUUGAUUAUAUUUUUCCUUUUCUUUUCAUGGUGGGUAGAAGCAAACUUUAGAAUGGUAUGGUAACUUAGUAUCCAUUUAUGAACUUGGCAUUUUCUUAUAUCUAUCGAGAUGAACCCGUAUUUCUCUAACUGGUGGGGAGGCUGGAGCAUGUGUGAUAUGGAAUUGAAGGGAAGUUAUGUGAUCAUGGUCGAUUGCAUGAAUUUAAUGCAAUCUGCAUUUCUGUAAACGAUGCAAUUGUUGGGAUCAAGUUGUUGUUUCAUGAUUUAUGAACAUAAUGUGUUGGAGGAUAUAUUGAUAUAUGGUGUUCAAUUUGUUGGGGAUGCGGGUCCUUUUCUUGGAAAUUCCCUGAUGGUGGUUUUGGUUUCUGGAUAUUGUUGGAGGUCUGGAUAAGGAGUUAGGAUGGCCAUUUCGUUUCACAAAAUUACAAGAUUUCUUGUUGCUGUGAUGAAAUAUACUGUGAUAUGAAUUCUGAUUUCCAUAUUGUUGAGACUAGCUAACAAGUAGCUUUUCUUGAAUAUUGGAAGUUUGAGGAUGUAAGUGGAGCUUCCUAGAAUAGGAUGUUAUUGGGUUUAGAAAAUUGCGUACAUGAAAGUAUUUGCACAACUAGGAGUUGUGAUAUUCUUUUAGGUGGGUAGCUAGGGCCUAGGAAGUUGUAAUGCUCUGGAGGUAAGUUGCAGGCCUUUGUUUUCUCUAUUGGUAGGUUAUUUGACUAGGAGUCAUAUUAGAUGGGAUUCCAUAUGGUUUUCUAUCUGCCACAGCUUCUUAUUUUUGUGGCUGGUCUGGAUAAGUGGUCGUUGGAUAAGCACCAAAACUUUCUUUCCAAACAUGGACGAACAGUUGGCUGGCAUUAGAAGAAUGGAUUGUGGAAAUGUUGCCAGCUUAGACCGACUGAAGUAGUUCAGCACUAUGGGUUGUAUCUGUUGUUUUUGUUCUUAAUAUUUAUCUGCAGUGCAUGGGACCCUUUAUGAUGUAUUAAGUUUUAACCUGUGGAGUGUGUACCAAAGGGUUGUUUGUAUAAUUUCAAGUUUCCUGGGGAUUGGUUGAAUCUGUUUUAUAUUGAGAAGGUAAUGUAUCUCCAGUGUUGCUCCUUAUGCUCUAAAUAGCCAAGUUAGACUUCUCCAGUGGUUAUCUAUAAUCCAAUUUCAGGAGUGUGGUUGAGUGGGAUAAUCGGGAGUUGUUAUUUUAGCCUGAGGCAUUUAGUCUAUCAGAGGUGGAACUUUCUCCAAAUAGCCAAGUUGAAGCUUUAUAUUCCUCUUUUGAACUUGUUUAUUGAAAGUGAGUUGUAAAGUGUGUGCUUCUUCUCCAAUAUGAGGAUUGGUGGGAUUUGCUUUAUAAUGGACGUGAUGGUAGGGUGGAGGUAAGAUAGAUUAUAUUCAGAUAAAAGGGGAUGGAAGUUCACGGACUAGGAAUGUUCAUGUAGCUAUCCAGCAUAGUUUGAAAAACGCAGGGAUUUGUCAGUAAUGCAAUUCACUGCUUCUCAAAUACUUCGUGAGUAGUUUCUUGUUCUUCAUUUUGAGCUGUGAAUCUGCAACUUCCUUCAUCAAGAUAUUUCUUGCCACCCCCACAAUAUGACAAGUUGCUCCAUGCUUUGAAAUGACCCUGGAAUAUCUCAAGAAAGGACGGUGGCAUGCCAUUUGACAAGAGGCCAGCUACUGAUUUGAACUUAUAGGCAAGUAUCCUGUCUCAUUUUUAUGGGUUUCAUGGGUAUGGAAUCUUCUUUGUUUUUCCCUAGCUAGAAAUAGUAGCUGAUUUCUGUCUUGCAUGCUUCCUCUUUAAUGUCCUUGACAUCUUGCUAUAUUGCUUUUAUUUAGAACUAAUGUUUCUUUCAUCUUGAUUUUAACACUGCCUUCAACUAAUUUACUGUACACCAUUUAGUGAAUUAGUAUACCAUUAUAAUGCCGAGCUUUCUUCCUGAUCUUGUUUUUUUAAGGCUUAUAGGAUAUUUAGUUUCAGAUUGUACCCAUAGAUAAACCUCUCUAGUUGAUCGUUUCCGUAAGAAAAAAACCUUUAGCGGGUGAUCUUAAAAUUUCUACUGUUUGAUUUACUGGAAUAACUUGCGUUGGAAAAGUUGAUGAAACAUCUCAAGGAUGAGGUGAGAUCUUGCUUCUACUCUCUUGAAAGGACUUGUUACCGCUUACCAUAUAGAGAUGCUUACGCGAACUAAUAAAACUGAGGAGAUCUUGCUUCUACUCUCUUCAAAGGACUUGUUACCGCUUACCAUACAGAGAUGCUUACGCAAACUAAUAAAACUGAGUCUGGUCAGGACCGAAAUGGAGUAUUUUUCUUGGUGGAUUGGAGCAGCCUAUGGGCCCACCUCAUACUGAAGAAUUUAGUUUAAGUUUGGAGAUGGAGGAUUUAUCUUUGCUUGGAUGAUGUAUAUGGCAGUCCUUUUGUUAUUCAAUUUGAUGGUCUUCAUUGAGCUAUCGCAGUUAUAGGAACUGAUGUUUCUGAAGUUAUCAGACAAUGGUGCAAGUCUCUUGGAGAUACAAUUGCUGGCUACAGAAAUUUAGUAUGAAGCUAUAGUCUCUAUACUGCAAUGAUGAUCGAUCUCAUAGCUUGGAGCUGGACAUCAAAGACGGGAGAAGAUUUGAUAAAUUUGUUUCUACAUGCAGCCACAUGAGCAUAGUCCUUGUUUGUCGAAUGAGAUUGCUGAAUGAGAAAACUUAAGAUGGCUAUGCCUCCCAACAUCAGAUAAUCAAUAAGUGAGAGAAAGUGCUUUCUGAAUAUAGACAGACCCAGUCCAUUGGCUCAGAUGGAUUGUUUUGUCGAGGAUAACCUUUAAAACAAAAAUAAUAAUGUUUGAUCAAGAAAUUGUAGCUAAGUAUGUUACUUGUAUGGUCUAGUAGGAACUAAGAUAGAGUUUGACUGGAUUUUGCAACUUCUAUUGAAAUUAUUAUUAAGUUGCUGAUUUCUUCAUUGCUGUUUGCUUUUUGUAGACUGCUUUAACCUCUCCUUUAAGAUGAACUAUGAUCAGUUGAUUAUGCAUGCUUAUCUUGGUUUACACUGAAGUUGAUGAUUUCUUGUAUUUUGGUCUGUAUCACAUUAUCAUUAGUUAUCUUCAAUUGAUGGUUUAUCACAUUAGUUACACAACUUACUUGUAUUUUAAUUACUGUUUUUACCUAAUUUAUCAUUAUUCUUUUGCUGCAGAUGAAAGGAUAGUUGUGGCGGAUUGUCAAGUGAGAAAUCAGGUUUGUCUCACAUAUUCGAAGUGAGAAUAGAAGCAAAUGUGAUUUAUAUGAGAGGUUUGUUUGACUUGGAGAUUGGUAGAAGAAAAUAUCUUUACCCAGUUGUUGAAAUUGUUGAUUAUAGAAGAGUCUAUGCAACCUAUUAAUUUUGUUGGAGGUUUAAGUUACCUGCAACGCGAAUCCCAACCUGUAGAUCUAUCUCAAGUUUAGCAGGUGAAGAAGUGGUUUGUCAAGGAUGUAUCCUGCAGUUUGUCAUUUCUGCUAGUGAGGGUAUGUUGCCAUCUCGUUUACAUGAGUCAAGGUAAUUUGUAGGAUGUUAAGCUUCUUUUGAAGUUAAAAAAAAAAUUUAUUCAACUGAUUUUUCGACAAUAGAUAAAUGAAGGAAUAAUGUCUCUUGUUGCAGCUUGUGAAUAUGGAUUUCACCUUCCUCUUAAUGUACUGGUCGAAUAGGAGAUUGAAUUGGCCGUAUUUCAGGCAUCAUAUUUUCAUACUCAAUUUUGAAGUUUUAGGGCUUGUAUUGUCACUUGUUGAAUAGGAGAUUGAAUUGGCCGUUUUCCGGGCAUCAUAUUUUCAUGCUCAAUUUUGAAGUUUUAGGGCUUGUAUAGAAUCAGUAACUUCAAAUUGCUGUCAACGAGCACAUUGGUGGUGUUGGAGUAUUGAGGCACCCCUGCAUUUUGCUGCAAAACAAUAAAAUGAUGGCAAGUGCCAUUUUUCUCACAUGUAUUCAUCUCAUAUAAUGUUCACAAUCUUUUUAAUUGUCUUCAAUUGCAAAUUCACCAAGGACCCAUUUGGUUUUAUUCUGUAUCAUCAGUAUUUGCUUCUCAGUUCUCAGUUUUGGCGUCUUAAAUUAAUUUAUAAGGUUAGACCAUCCCCUUAACAGUUGAGAUGUGCCCCAGCGGCAUUCAAACUUGAAGAGAAAGGAUUCUCUCAUCUCUUUUUGCUUCAUUUGAAAGUGCAAAUAAAAGAAUGGGCAAAAAUUAUUAAAAUGUAACUUUCGUAUUCGCUAAAAAAUUUAUGCUCUUUUCAAUUACUUUUAUUUAUUUAUUUUUUUUGGGUCAAAUGUUCUUUUCAAUUACUAUACAUAAAUUAUUGGUACUUAUUCUUGGUGAACUUAAUUUGACCAGUCUGGACCAGUCUGGACCAGCCAGAUCUAAUUUUCAGGACACUGCAAAGUUCCGGCCGAGGAAUUGAAACUGAUUUUGAUGGAUGGAAAGGGAUGUGGUGUGUUGCCGUUUCCAAACGAGGUUCUUGAUGAGGUUAAGGUUAGGGUUGCUUUUCACUUUCUCAAUCCCAAGCCAGUUGAAGUGAGGGAACCUUCAAGGCAGUAAAAAUUCACAACCCAGAAAAUCCCACAACGCACCAUAUCAUCUAACCUCUGCCUCAGCAUCCAAGCUUACUUUAGGAAUAGCAUUGCCAACAUUAGUCUUCGACUUCAGUGUUGAAAAUAAAGCUCGGGAAGACUGUCGUGAUGUCCCUGGCAAGUCGAUAACAUAAUUAGAAUAGAUUUAGAGAGGAAGAGAAAAAGAGAUUCAAUCAUGACACUAAAUAAUAGAUUGAUAGAAGCAUUGAAAAAUAGAAAGGAAAUCUUAGGAAACUACUUUUAUUUUUUAUUUUUUUUUAUAAACAACUCUUAGAACACUAAUUGAUAUCAAAUGAAAGAAGUUUACUUGAAAGCAGAGGAAUGGAAGAGGAAGAUUACUGAAUGAUCAUUGGAAGCAAUAGUAAAACCUAAGAAGAAUUAAAAGCAGAGGAAUGGCAGUAAGCAAGUACUUUAAAUGUGGAAGCGUCAUGUUCUUUAGAAGUGUUGGGUGCUGAAGAGCAAAAGCUUUCCAUUCGUCUUUGCUAAUUUUAUCAUCCUUGUCAGAAUCAGCAUCUGCAAAUGUCUGUGCAACAAAAGAGAACUUUGAGAGUGUAAAACUUCAGAAUAAGGGAAACAUACAGAAAUUUUAGCAUCGGUAAUUCUUGCCUUAUCGACGAUAGCUUCAAGAGUUUCAUCUGGCACAUGUAUGCCAGAUUCCAACAAAGUGGCAACUACCAUUUGCCUGACCUGAAAGCAACCACAGCAGUUACUUAGAAGUAAUACAGCAGAUGAAAUAAUCGUUUGAAAAAUUACAAUGAAUCAAAGUGAAGACAUUGCAUCUUCCCAACUGCCUUCUUAGUCUUCUAAUUUUGGUGUUUUAUUUUUUUAUUUUUUAUUACUGUUGUUUUCAAUGAUUAAAGCAUUCAGGCAAGAACUUGUUCAUAGUCUGCAACACACCAAGAUACUUACUUCUUCCCGCUCAAUAUAUCCAGUUUGUCUCAAAUCAUACAACCUAAAUGCGACUGCAAAAAACCCAAAAGAGAGAGGAAGAAAAAAGUCCUUUAACAUGAAAUGCCUCCAAACUUUAAGCAGCUGAAGUUGGAUUGUAGAAUUCUUACAAUCAAUCUUGUCUUCAAGAGGAGCACAUGGAUGAAAAACACUAAGUGCAUGGACAAACCCCUCGAAUUCAAUCACGCCAUUUUUCUUUUCGUCGAAAACAUCGAACACCUAGAUUCCAUUUUGUCAUAGAUUGGAAGGAAACAGAUUAAUAUGUUAGUUCAGAUUCAUGUUCCAUAUAUAGUCACCAACGUAAUAGAACAGAUUAAUCUAAACUAGAUGGCUCAGAGUCACAUUAUAGAGUUUUUUAUUUAUUAAAAUAUUGCAUUGAAGGGUGAAAUUUCAUACAACUCUGCUCACAUUGGCAAUCCUAAUUUCCUGAAUCCCAUUCAAGCAGUCAAGAUGAACUGAAUUAUCAUAUCAAAUAGAGAGAGAGAGAUUUACUUUUUCAUCAUUGGAAUAAAUAAAAAUAAAAAAAUUGUCUCAAUGAACUCACCCUAUCCAGGAAAAGAUUUUCACCUGCUGGAGUUUUGAAUAGCGCCAACCUGAGCUCCUCCUGGAAAUGAGAAAUUAAAAUGAAGUUAAUAAAAAAAGGGAAACAUAAAUAAAUAACCCAGAAGAAAAGAAUUAAAUUUCAUGAUCCAUGUCAAAGAGAUAAAAAAAAUAUUUAAAAAUGAAAUAAACGAGGGCCCCCAUUACAAACACGUGCAUAAAUUAAUUAACCUUGUGAAUUAACCCAUCAUCAAGAAUCGAACUACUCAACUGGUUGAACAAUUCGCGCAAUGCUUCCACCUCAUUUACAGUAACUGACAGUGAAAAGUAAAAAAAAAAAUAAUUGAACCAAAUAAAAAACACAUUUUUAUUUAUGAAUGAAGGAGGAAUUAGUAGACAAACAUGGAGAGCUGGCAGCAAGGCGAACGAUGUCGUCGUAAGUGUAGGAGAGGCGCUGAUGAGGCCGUUGUCGAUCGAAGCAACCAAUUAAGCUGAAGAUGAAAGCAUCAACGAGAUCAAUCAGUGGUUUGAACACCGCGCACAGCUUCUCGCCUAGCAUCAGCGAGCUCGAACUCUCCUUAAUUAUUCAAAUCAACACAGUUAUUCAGUCAAAUUUUCUCUUUUACUUUUCUCGGCAACCAAACAAACACAAAUUAUUAGAGAGAGAGAGAGAGAGAGAGAGAGAGAGAAUACCGUAUACGCAGAAUUCUCUAUACGAAAUAGAAGAUCACGGAGAAACAAUCUAGGUCUCUCAUUGCUCGUCAUCAGCGUUUGGACCAAAUCAAAUCUCAAUUUGCUCUCGAAGGAUUCUGCGCAGAGAGAGAGAGAGAGAGAGAGAGAGAGAGAGAGAGAGAGCGCGAGAGAGAGUUGAGUUUACCGCUAACUUCAGAAAUCUGAAAAGAAGGGAAUUUACUUAUUUAUUUUAAUUUUAAAUAAAUUCUAGUUUAUAUGAAAAAUAAAAACAAAUAUCAUAUUAUUUGUUGUUCCAAAAACCAGUCGAAUUAAUUAAUUCUUCAAUCAUUAAUAGUUUGGUUUAAUAUGACGUAAUUUCAUAAAAAAGAAAGUCAAUAUAAUUAAUUGUAAUAAGAAAAUUUAUGAAAUAGAGUAGUCGAGAGAAUACUAGAGAAAUAAACACGAAAUUAUAAUUUAUCAUACUAUAGUGGAAAAGUAUGUUUGGUCAUCCAAACUUUUAAGUAUAUGUGUGUGAGUAAAUACCUCUCUUUUUCUUAUUGGACAUGAUUUAUUAACAUUUUGUAUAUGUUAAUAAACACAUAAAAAGCGAUAGUAUACUAAAUUCACACACACUACACGAAUGAUAUAAUUCGAAUUCAAAACUUUAUCUGAAAGAGUAAAUAUUCCAAAUCACUACACUCGUGAAUCCCUUACAAUCACAUCAAAUCUUUUAAUUAUUGUACGUAAGUGCUAAGCUUUAGAAGGCCCCACAUACUAAUUAGAGGUUACAAUUAUUAACCCAAAAACUAAAGAGCAUUGCUUUUGGGUUGCGUUGCAGACUUGCAAUUUCCCAUUCUGUGGCCAAGCUAGUGUAGUGGAUAUGGAUCAUAUGGCCUAUUCAUGACUCAGCAAUUUUGUGUGCUCUCUAUCCUCUCUACUAAUCAUUUAUAAUUUAUAAUUUAUAAUGCUUCUGAACCCAAAAAAGAAAAAGAAAAAAUCCCCACAAUUAUUCUGAGGAGGUGGGUGAGCAGAAGCAACAAUUAUUGACAUAUAAAUCAAUUCUUUAAUCUUUACAUCGAGGAUCGAUCCAUUCACGCAACUAAAUUUGUCAAAUGAAAACAGUGAAUAAUGUUUUUUCUUAUUUUCUGUAAAAUAAAAAAUAACUAAUAUUCAAAUAUAUAAUAUAUCAAGUCAGAGUAACAUUAAUAAUUAGUCAUUAGGGAGUAAUUUUCCCUGUUUAUGUAAUGGAAUUCUUAUUUCUCGCCCCAAAAAAAAAAAAAAAAAAAAAAAACUAGGUAGUAAACAUUGGUGGUAUCACUUUUGAUCUCUUGCCCUUCACCGCGGACUUUGUAUCUGGAAAAAGACCACCACUACCCUCCACGAGAUCUUCAACAUGACCUUCCUCUGUUACAUUCAUGGGGUAUGUCACAAGGUGAACGCCUUCCAUGUCGACCACUUCUUCACCACUGUAGGUUUUCCACAUUUGAUCUCCUAUUAAACGCACCGUUUGCACGCAUUCUAAGCUUUCGGGCUGCUUGAACAAUUCUUCGGCACGGCCAAUGUGUUCAUACCAUAAUGACAUCCGGUACGCUUCAAUGUCCCCUCCUGCGCUCAUCAUCGCCUUGUCGUCCCCAUUUUUCGACUGGUAGCAUCCUAUUGCGAUCUCGGUGUCUCGAUGACCGUCCAUCGAUCUUUGGUUUAUGUUUGCAGAUCCUAUGAUAAGGUAUGCAUCGUCCACUAAAACAAAGUAGGCACCAAAAAAGAAUGAGAAGUUACUUCAAUGAUAAACCAUCUAAGUCACAUGUUUAAAUGUACCACAAUGUUCUCCUUUUUAGCAUUACUCUACUUUAAUUGUCGAAAAUAAAAGAAGAAACAAGAAUCCAAACUAAAUAAUAAGUAAUAAAUAAUGCUACAUGUACCAUAUUUAUUGAUCACAUUAUCGACCAUAUUUUUCACAUAAGUAAGAGCGCGAAAUUUAUCUACGAAAGUAGAUUUCACUUAUAUAAGAUAUGCGGUUAGCUCAUAAAUAUAGUAAAAGUAAGUUUAUUGUUAAACAAUAAUUGAGAUCCACAUACAUACCUAUCAUGAGCUUGGAGUGGACAUACACCAUGAACCUCCUAUGCUUCUGUGCAUUCCCGUACUGUGUUGCAGAGUUAGGAGAAUGUGGAGGAAUAAAAUCUCCUUGGCUCUCUACUUCUCUGUUGGCAAGGCAAUAGAAGUUCAAAUAGUCUCUAGGGUGCCCUUCAACCCCACUCUCUUUUAUGGCUUCUCCAAUCAACCUAUACAUCAUUGACAUUGUCUCUCUGGUCCAGUGAAGUAUGUCUUGAACAGAUUCACUCUCAGGUAAGCCUUCUGGCCACAUUGGUAUCACUAUGUACACUGCAAAUCUCUCCUUUGCUUUUAUCUUAUUGACCACUUUGAGAGCAAUCUCAAUGGGGAUCAAAUUUCUGCAACCACAGUUCUGAUCUUUCUCCCACAAACGGCACCCUCCAAUGAAAUACUGGUUCUCAAUGUACAGAAACUUAUCGGCAUGCCUGAUUGCCUCGACAUAAGCUUCAUGGAUGCUUUGCUCCACAGUUAAGUUUCGGAACAAUUGGCUUGCUGAAACAUGGUCUAUUGAUCUAAGAACUUGGACAUUCCAACCCCUCUCAGAUGUUGGUUUGCUUGCAUAAGUCUGCUGAAUGAGACUUGUUAAGGUGCUUGAAGGGACCAAGACAGAAGGAUCACAUUGCUUAGCCCACCGCUGCUCGAAAUUCGUUAGUACAUCCCAAGCAGCCUCACCGGUUACACAAGCGUGAGCAUCGUGCCACGGAGUUCUUGGCCCUCCUUUCUGUAGGCUAGCCCCAGAAAUGUUGGUCUGGUAGAAAUCAGAACAGUGAGAUUCUGUGUUGAGUGUGUGAAAUAAUGAAUGUUGCUCUGUGUCAUAGCGCCCAUCACAAAGAUCUAGGCCCCCAAUGAAGCUCAUAAUUUCUCUGUCACUUGCACUGGUGCUGGAUUUGGUGUCCACAGUUAUGGUUUUCUGAUGGUGGGAGAAGAUUGUGGGAAACUUGUUGUGCAAUCUAGGGCACAAUCUGCAUAUUACUUUGGUGUGUGCAAAGUAGUAAAAUGCAUCUUCAUCAUGAGUUCUCAUUAUUCCUUUGUUCUUGAUAAUUGGUAAGGAUGUUUCGUCAUCCCAAAGCAUUAUUCUCACUGCCACACCUUCCUCAGCCUUCUGCUUUAGUAAUUCACCGAGCUUCACUCCUCGCGCAUGCGGGAUGUCUGUUUGAGGAUCCCUGACCUGCUUAAGAGCAUAUUAAGUUCCAAAAACAAAAUUAGGAGUAUUAAUUUGUAGCUAGGAAAUUGUGUUGCACUUCCAUUUACCAGAACCAUCUUAGGAUUGAAAGACCAGCCUGCAAUGUAAAUCAAAUUCUUUGCCCCCUCCAUGGCUUUGUACACAUCCUCCCAUAGUCUUCUUGGAGUCCCACAAAGCUCCGAAGAAGGCUUGAAAGUUGAGCAAUGAUGAGCAUCCUGAUAAAGAGUGACAUGACUAUUGGAUCUUUGUGGAAAUGUUGCAUUCCUUAGCCCCUGGAAUUGAACAUUAUCAGCCGUCAUCUGUCCCCAAGUUGGUUCAAAUUGCGCCGGCUUAAACCAUAACAUGAACCGGAGCUUGAGCUCUGGAUUUGGCUUCCCAUUUUCGAUCACCAGAGGGAGGAAACUGUUGACAAAACUUGCUUCAUUCAGUAUCUCAUGUGCCUGCAUUUGAAAUUUUCCCAAGAUGGAACAUUUCGUUUUCAUGGUAAUGGUAAUCGUUGAAUCAGACGGAUAAGCACAGAGGAUUCGAAAGGUUUGGUUCCAAACACGGUCGCGUUCAUGGGUUGUCCUUGCUACUUUCUUGUUGUCUAUCUUGAUGGUCACACAUGCAGGCUUCCCAGCUCCAAAAAUACACUGCAGAACAGAAUUUCCACACAAAUUUUCAUUCCAACAAAAACCAAAAUCUAUAAGACAACGAUCAAAAUAAGCUACAAAAUCAAAUUUGGCUAAUGCCAUAAUCUUAAUUAGUACUUACAUUGAAGGGGAAAGGUGGUGGUGUGUAGGGUGUGGCAUGGAAAAUGGUAGCUUCAAGUGUUCCAUGAAGAAAGUCAUGUACCUUUCCCUCCAUAGUUUUUGCCUUCAAACAAUCUGACUAGAGAGAGAGAGAGAGAGAGAGAGAUUGAGAUGGGUCAAUUAGGUAAGUUUUCUAUGUUGCAAUAUAGAAGAUGGAAAGGGAAACUUUGAAUGCAAAUGAUGAUAAGGUUGGCGGCAGUAGGAAAAACUUGUGAAACCUUCAAUGUCCAGUCUUAGAGGCAACCUUCAACUCCAUCACAAGUUUUUACGUCAAGUUUAAGUAUCUUAAACUAACACAUUUCCUUCCUUGGGCCAAAAACCUGAUUUCAUAAUGUCCCAUUUUUCUGGUGUUCCAAAGGGAUUAUAAUAAAUUUGAGACACAUCUAAGAAUUAGCUGACCGCGUCAUCGAUGAACUAGACAACCCGAAUUAAGAACUUGCUUAAACAAAAUUUUGCCAAACUUUGAAAGUCAUUAAUUUUUAAUGCAUUUCUGGGUUGCCCAACACCGCAUAAUUGGCAACCCUCAUCCAGUUGAAUUUUACCAAACAAAAUUUGUCUACUUAAAACCAUUGGAGCCAUUGUCUUCUGUGUAGAUUCCCCAGCAAAUUGGAGAUCUAUGUACACGACCUAAUCAUUAGUGAUGUAAUAAUUGAGCAAGUCAAAAUUAAAAAAUAUAUAUACAUAUAUAUAUAAAUUAAAGUCAAGGGUAACUUUAUGUUUAAGGAUCUUGGUUUGGAGGAUGAUGUGCGGGAGGUGAGACGUGAGAUUAUAGAAAAUGACUUAAGACACGUUAUAUGUUUUAAUGUCAAACGUUACAAAUAGAAAACCAAAAGAGAAAGAACAUCAAGAAACGUGAAAAGGUUUCUACAAAAGCUAACUAAAUGGGUUUAAAACAGGAAGUCAUAGGGCAAUAUGGAAGUGGAUUUGACAUUAAAAUAUAUAUAUAUAUAUAGGGAAAAAAAAUUCACAUGUCCUUCAGGGGGAAAUAAAAGAGAAAAAUCAAUAUGCGAUAUAUCGAAUUUAAAUGCAGUGUAUGAAUCAGGAACGAAAGGGAACGUUUUUAACAAAUUUCGACAAAAUAGUAAGCACAAAAACUUAAGGUAUAUAUUGAUUCGUAGUAUUUUCCAUGCAACAUCCUCCAGGCAACUUCAUGUACUAAGAGAAAAGCAUGAUGAAUAAGCAAAUUUUAAGCAUCAUUACAAUAAAUUCAAUUUUUUUUUCUUGAAAAAGAAUAGGAUUUGUACAAAGCUAUUUUUACAACUAGUGAUGGAGCUAGAAAUGUUGUCAUCGGGGUUCAACUUUAGCUAGUGUGUUUGGUUGGCAUUGCAAAAUAUAACUCUCUACGUGCUCAAAUGAUGUGCUAUUUAUUUGACACGCUAAAAUUUGACAUAAUUUUUAAGAAAUCAAUAUUGAAAGCUAAAAUAUUUAAUUUUUAAUAAAAUUUAAAGGGUCGUGGUGAUUUCAUGAAUAUUAAUUCCAUUUCAUAACACAUAGGCUUCGAUUUAAUUAUGUAGAGUUUAAUGAAGUUUGUUAGAGAACUUUUACGAAGUUUGAAAGUCGACAUGUCAAUCGGUUGUGUUUUUGCGGGUUUAUAUCACGUGAUGUGAAACUUAAAUCAACCCCAACACGACUACAUAAGCUAAUGUACUAGCGGACCUAUAAAUUUUUUAACGGAGAUGUAAUAUUGACUAAGUAUGAAAAAUGGUUUUUCAGAAUAAUCAUUUUCUCAAGAUAAUUUUUGGCGGCUUUUAUUCCUUACACAUCAAAUAAGAAAACUUGAUUUUAUGGGAUUUUAGUAUGAAGUAUAUAUUGACUUAAUGAGCCAUCAUUUUUAGAAUAAAUCGUAUUUUGCACUAAAACUGAAUUUUCAUAUUUUGAUAUGGUGGGAAUUUGAUUUUCUAGUAUUUUUAUUUGAAUCCAAAUAGGGGGUACUUCCUUAUUUACAUUGUAAAGCCAUUUACUUAAAUGUUAAAAAUGGAAAUAAGGUAAUAUGUACACUAGUUGAGCAAAUGGGCAAUUUGAAGCACCUACAAUGGUUUUUCCGGUGAGGGGAGAUGCAGCUACACCUCCUUGCGCCUCGUUAUUUUUUUAAAAAUUAAAUAAAAUGCAUUUUGCAAAAUAAAUAUGUUAUUUAAACAUUAUAGAUUUUUAAAAAAAAAUUGUUUAAAUUACAUGCUCAAUAGUCCAGGAAAAAACAUAACAUAAAACUACUUUCUUUCCUAACUAAUCGGUAACGAGUUAAAUGAGGUAACACAAAAAUACCCAUUUUUACCAAUUCACAAAUGAAUACACUCAUUAGUCGUCAACGAGAACACUGAAUUUUUCAUGUGUUAUUGUCGUUUUACAAGUUGUGCAUACUUUUGCCAAAUCUAAUUCAAAAGGCGUAAGAAAUAACUAAUAAUUGAAAUGGUCGUAACACGGUUGAAAUGUUAUGCUACGAGAAGAACCAAAAACAACAAACCAAAAAAGUUCAAACCUAAACAACAAAGUCCAUCAACAAACCAGAAAAAAGUUCAACACCAUACAAUAAUUAAGGACAAACAGAUAUGAUGAGAAGAGAAAAGCAGCAUGUAGAUCUAUAUAGAGUAUUUUACCUUCAGUUCACAAGCAGAAUGUAUAAAUAUUCCGAAGAGAAAACAGAACAUGCGUCUAAUGAACACUUCAAAAUUUGUAGGUACAAUUAGAUUUGUACGACCUAUAUGAUAUUUAUACACCCCAAUUUAAAAAUCCACAACUUUAUAAAUUUCUCCAAAGUUAAUGACUUUUUCAAUACUUUUUUUACUUUUUAAAAAACAUAAUUAAAUAUACAUAGAUUUUUAGUUGCUCUAUAAAAGUCUGAACUGAAUCCCCUAGAAAUUAAUAAUUUUAAAAAAUUUAUUAAAAUCUCGAUUAAUUAUUUUUUUUAAAUAGAUUUUUUUGGUUGUAAAAUAAAGUAGAAUUACAAAGAAGAUCCUCGAGUGAUGUUAUAACCUUACAAGUCAAACUUAAACUUUUUUUUUUUUUUCUUAAUACCUGAAAGAGAAAUUACCACUUGGAAAUGAGGAUAAAAGGCAGCAUAAAUGUUGGUUAAUUAUGGGGAAAAAGACUUGUGAUUUGACAAAUGGAGACACUAGAGUCUAGAGCAUGAAAAGGUGAAACUUGCUUCUUUCCUUUUCAAGCAAUGGGCAACUCAUUCAAUGAUGUUUAUAUCUGUUUCUAAAGUCAGAAGUUCAAAAUCCAAUUAUGAGGUAUCCAGCUAAUAUAAAAAAAAUUUAUUUAAAAUUAAAAUAAUCAAAUUUCAUUUUCUAACUUUUACAACUUUAGUCUAUGUCGUUUCAAUUUGUUCAAAAUGAUUAAAAUGGCAAAUUAUAGAGACCAAAAGUGACUUUUUGCCUAACAUAAAAAUGGGUUUCAUUUCUUUAUGCAACACUAGCCCCUCACGCAUGUGCCAAUAGAUUUUUUUUUUUAUUUUUUAUUUUAUUUUUAGAAUUAAGAAAGAUAACAUGGGCAGUUAUGUUCCAUAAAAAUAUGACAUAUUAUUUGAUUUGAUUUUUAAUUUAAUUUUUUUAAGAUAAAAAAAUAUAAAUUUACCAUAUUAUCCUCAUUUAAUUAAUAAUUUCAAUUCUUAAUGUUUAAAUUAACCAAGAAUAUUUUAUAAUAUUUUGAAUGUUUCACCAUUCUUUAUCUUUUAUUUUAUAUACAUAGAUGGUGAACAAUGUAAUUAGUAAAUUGGACAAAAAUUUAGUAUUACUCUUAAAAUUGUUUUGAUUUUCCCCUUUCGUACUUUUGAUUGUGUUGCCCCUGGAGACUUGCACCUACUAUCAUUAAUCAUCCUAUAAUUUCUUAGCCAAAUGACCAAUUUGACGCUUGUAAUUUGGCUCUUUUUUUUCAUUAGCUACUUGUGAUUUUUUUUUUUCAUUGGGGUUUUAUAGUUAGUUUAUGCACACAAUCCAUGAAAAAUUUAAGUUUUUCAAUUCGUGCAUGGGAUAAAAGCACUUCUUGACAAUAACAAAAUUCUUCUGAUAGCAUUUAGUAGAAAAGUUUAGAAAUGCUUAUGAGUGAUAAAAGCACUUUUGAGAUAAGCAAUACCAUGUGCUUUAUCUAGAAGUACUUCCCAGUGCUUUUUUAAAAAGCACUUCGAUUUCUUAUGAAAUUUCAAUAUUUUUAUAAUAAAAACCUUUUUGCUAAAAGCGAUUAUGUACAAAAGUGCUUCUUAGAUAAACAAACCAAACAAGCCCGAAAUCUUUUUCAAUCAGGUCUUUAUAGUAAGGUUUUGUUUCAAUUAGGGCUUGUUUGGUAGGCCUCACUGAGCUGGACUGGGUUAUAUAACAUUUGAAACCCAUGUUUGGUAAGAGGGGGUACUAAGUUAAAUGGGAUUGUAUAGGACAACAGUAAAAAAAACACCUUACUCGCUGUUCUAAUAUUGCGAGGUUGAAAAGGGGUUCGCAAAAUAACACCCACUCUAUAUAGAACAAGCGAGUCUUAAGUCCUCUUUCUCUCUCGUUUCCUUCAGCAUCGCCUCUCCUCUCUCUCUUAUUUCCUACUAAGGUAAGUUUUCUGGCCUUCUCUGGAGAUGACCCAUAACUCCUAUACCAACCUCCAUAACUUCUGGCCUUCUUUGGAGAUAACCCACUCCAACUCCAAGGCCAGCCUUCA
RNAcentral lists this long non-coding RNA (43384 nucleotides) under Prunus persica (peach). Its description in RNAcentral is "long non-coding RNA (PPER_LNC002948)". Lineage: Eukaryota; Viridiplantae; Streptophyta; Magnoliopsida; Rosales; Rosaceae. The record is from RNAcentral.